This 375-nucleotide RNase P RNA is filed under the name Salmonella enterica subsp. enterica serovar Heidelberg. RNAcentral describes it as "RNase P RNA component class A". It matches the Rfam family "Bacterial RNase P class A". From Rfam's summary of the family: Ribonuclease P (RNase P) is a ubiquitous endoribonuclease, found in archaea, bacteria and eukarya as well as chloroplasts and mitochondria. Its best characterised activity is the generation of mature 5'-ends of tRNAs by cleaving the 5'-leader elements of precursor-tRNAs. The record is from RNAcentral. Lineage: Bacteria; Pseudomonadati; Pseudomonadota; Gammaproteobacteria; Enterobacterales; Enterobacteriaceae. RNAcentral also lists the same sequence under 68 other names.
GAAGCUGACCAGACAGUCGCCGCUUCGUCGUCGACCUUUCGGGGAGACGGGCGGAGGGGAGGAAAGUCCGGGCUCCAUAGGGCAGGGUGCCAGGUAACGCCUGGGGGGGAAACCCACGACCAGUGCAACAGAGAGCAAACCGCCGAUGGCCCACGUAAGUGGGAUCAGGUAAGGGUGAAAGGGUGCGGUAAGAGCGCACCGCGCGGCUGGUAACAGUCCGUGGCACGGUAAACUCCACCCGGAGCAAGGCCAAAUAGGGGUUCAUAAGGUACGGCCCGUACUGAACCCGGGUAGGCUGCUUGAGCCAGUGAGCGAUUGCUGGCCUAGAUGAAUGACUGUCCACGACAGAACCCGGCUUAUCGGUCAGUUUCACCU